Molecule: ribosomal RNA, 468 nt
Filed under: uncultured bacterium
Lineage: Bacteria
Description: partial 16S ribosomal RNA
Rfam family: Bacterial small subunit ribosomal RNA
Source: RNAcentral
GAUGAACGCUGGCGGCGUGCUUAACACAUGCAAGUCGAACGAAAAGGCCCUGAUUUUGUGGGGUGCUCGAGUGGCGAACGGGUGAGUAACACGUGAGUAACCUGCACUUGACUUUGGGAUAACUUCAGGAAACUGGGGCUAAUACCGGAUAGGAGCUCCUGAUGCAUGGUGGGCGUUGGAAAGUGUCGGCGGUUGGGGCUGGAUUCGCGGGUUAUCAGCUUGUUGGUGGGGUAGUGGCUGUCCAAGGCUACGACGGGUAGGCGGCCUGGGAGCGUGACCGGCGACCAGGGGACUGAGAGACGGCGCAGACUCGUACGGGCGGCAGAAGUGGGGAGUAUUGCGCAGUGGGCGGACGCCUGAGGCAGCAGCGCUGCGAGCGGGAUGAUGUGCUUCGAGUGGUAAACCGAUUUGUCCGGUGAUAAAGCGUGAUUGACGGUAAUGGGUAAAGAAGCCCCGGCUAACUACGUG